CGGGACGGGUGGAGUAACGACGUGGAGUAACCUGCCUCACACUGGGGGAUAACAGUUAGAAAUGGCUGCUAAUACCGCAUAAGCGCACAGUACCGCAUGGUACGGUGUGAAAAACCCAGGUGGUGUGAGAUGGAUCCGCGUCUGAUUAGCCAGUUGGCGGGGUAACGGCCCACCAAAGCGACGAUCAGUAGCCGACCUGAGAGGGUGACCGGCCACAUUGGGACUGAGACACGGCCCAA
RNAcentral lists this ribosomal RNA (239 nucleotides) under uncultured bacterium. RNAcentral describes it as "partial 16S ribosomal RNA". It matches the Rfam family "Bacterial small subunit ribosomal RNA", at positions 100 to 334 of the family's 1533-position model. The record is from RNAcentral.